UGACCGCAUAUGUCUGAUUUUUCUCUCUCCUUUUCCUUUUUUUUUUUCCAGUGGACUUUAAAGCUCUUUGAAUGUACAUUCAAUAUGUAGCAGCUUUCAGCACAGGGACAGGAAAAUCUUUGAAAGCUGGCAUCCUAUUUCCUAAUGCAGACCAAAACAACCUUGUCUCAUCACAGCAGUGGAUGUUCUCUUCAUCAAAGUCCUGUAGCAGACCARACAACACUUCUUUUUUUCCAUGCUUGAUGGGGGACUGAGGAGAGGCAGUGUGCAAGAGAGAAAUACACAAAAGAAAGGUAACUGAAAAAGUUCAUAUUGAGAUCUGUCAAAAUAUUGAGUAGUGUUUAGUUCUCAAAAUCUCUUUCCACUGCCAUUAUGGAGACUAUGGAACAAAAGUUCCCUGAGUACUGAGAGCCUAUUUCAGUGUCUUCCCAGAUGCAUUUUGGUGCUGAGCACUCUGGGUCUCAGUAUUUGUCUCAUGUUUAAGCACCAUCAAGAUCCACAGUUAARGAAUUCAGCUCUGCUAUAUUCUCUAUGGGGCCCAAUCCCAUAGGCCUUCUAAGAGCAUUGCUAAUUUUUUCCUUGUACAAGGAAGUACCAUGCAAAUUGAGACGUUCAGAUUCUGUUAAGUGGAAGGGUGCUUAGAAGUUAGCUUUUGCUCAGAGCUGUGACRUCUGCGUGCUUUGGUGGAGCAAAUCCC
This 697-nucleotide long non-coding RNA is filed under the name Dromaius novaehollandiae (emu). RNAcentral describes it as "lncRNA (ENSDNVG00000007718.1)". Lineage: Eukaryota; Metazoa; Chordata; Aves; Casuariiformes; Dromaiidae. The record is from RNAcentral.